This is a long non-coding RNA of Hypomesus transpacificus, 372 nucleotides long. RefSeq lists it as uncharacterized. Lineage: Eukaryota; Metazoa; Chordata; Actinopteri; Osmeriformes; Osmeridae. The record is from RefSeq and is a predicted model, not a curated record. The transcript has 3 exons.
CCAUUGUUUGCAAUAAUGGUGGCUUUGGAUUCGAGGUUUAUGUCCACCUAACUCUAGACGUAAAACACGCCUCCAUGUGCUGGCAGCAGGCAGGUGCAGAACAGAAUAAAAAUGCCCAUUUGAGGCUUUCAUCAGUGUCUUCACUUUGACUGAGGAGAGAGCAGUGUGAUCAGAUCUACGUUCUAGUGCAUGUUUUUUGUCUGACGAGAAUGAAGCCUUGCAUGAUGAUGAUGUCAGAGGGUCUGUUCUUACUCCUGGUCAUACAAGCUCUUCAUCAUACUUCAGUUGGUCAAUCCACCACUCCUUCUUUCACCACCACCACCUCUAGACCAGCAACCACCACCACCCCUCCUACUACCACCACCCCUCCUU